AGAGUUUGAUCGAUGGCUCAGGAUGAACGCUAGCUACAGGCUUAACACAUGCAAGUCGAGGGGCAGCAGGACGAUAGCUUGCUAUUGUUGCUGGCGACCGGCGCGACGGGUGAGUAACGCGUAUCCAACCUUCCCCUUAGUAGAGGAUAGCCCGGCGAAAGUCGGAUUAAUACUCUAUGUUGUAUUUUGAGGACAUCUGACGAAUACCAAAGAUUUAUCGCUAAGGGAUGGGGAUGCGUCUGAUUAGCUUGUCGGCGGGGUAACGGCCCACCGAGGCGACGAUCAGUAGCCGGCCUGAGAGGGUGUACGGCCACAUUGGGACUGAGACACGGCCCAAACUCC
RNAcentral lists this ribosomal RNA (342 nucleotides) under uncultured Prevotella sp. RNAcentral's name for it is "bacterial SSU rRNA". It matches the Rfam family "Bacterial small subunit ribosomal RNA", at positions 8 to 339 of the family's 1533-position model. Lineage: Bacteria; Pseudomonadati; Bacteroidota; Bacteroidia; Bacteroidales; Prevotellaceae. The record is from RNAcentral.